Molecule: unclassified non-coding RNA, 323 nt
Filed under: Cosmospora sp.
Lineage: Eukaryota; Fungi; Ascomycota; Sordariomycetes; Hypocreales; Nectriaceae
Description: partial contains 5.8S ribosomal RNA, internal transcribed spacer 2, and large subunit ribosomal RNA
Rfam family: 5.8S ribosomal RNA (bases 1-71)
Source: RNAcentral
GUGAAUCAUCGAAUCUUUGAACGCACAUUGCGCCCGCCAGCAAUCUGGCGGGCAUGCCUGUUCGAGCGUCAUUUCAACCCUCAAGCCCCCGGUGGGUUUGGUGUUGGGGAACGGCCUCCCGUCUCCGGGCGGCCGGCCCCGAAAUCCAGUGGCGGUCUUACCGCGGCUUCCUCUGCGUAGUAGCACACCUCGCACUGGGACGCGGCGCGGCCACGCCGUAAAACGGGACGGGCGAGUCACAUCGCCCGCGCCCCCCUCCUCAAGGUUGACCUCGGAUCAGGUAGGAAUACCCGCUGAACUUAAGCAUAUCAAUAAGCGGAGGA